RNAcentral lists this transfer RNA (89 nucleotides) under Fibrobacter sp. RNAcentral's name for it is "tRNA-Ser". It matches the Rfam family "tRNA". From Rfam's summary of the family: Transfer RNA (tRNA) molecules are approximately 80 nucleotides in length. Their secondary structure includes four short double-helical elements and three loops (D, anti-codon, and T loops). Further hydrogen bonds mediate the characteristic L-shaped molecular structure. tRNAs have two regions of fundamental functional importance: the anti-codon, which is responsible for specific mRNA codon recognition, and the 3' end, to which the tRNAs corresponding amino acid is attached (by aminoacyl-tRNA synthetases). tRNAs cope with the degeneracy of the genetic code in two manners: having more than one tRNA (with a specific anti-codon) for a particular amino acid; and 'wobble' base-pairing, i.e. permitting non-standard base-pairing at the 3rd anti-codon position. Lineage: Bacteria; Pseudomonadati; Fibrobacterota; Fibrobacteria; Fibrobacterales; Fibrobacteraceae. The record is from RNAcentral.
GGAGGGAUGGCCGAGUGGCUUAAGGCAGCGGUUUGCUAAACCGCCGUACGGUUUACUCUGUACCGGAGGUUCGAAUCCUCUUCCCUCCG